GCAGAGUUGAAAAUGCAGGUGAGGUGGUGAGAGCAGAAGGCUCUUAUAGGGAGAUGCCUCCUUGCGGAGAAAUGCUGAGACAGUGCAGAGUUAAAAAGACUUUGGAUAGGGCGUGAAUUUGGACACAAGCAUCAUUUGCAUGGUUCAGCUCUGCUGAGGCUUCCCCAGCCUUAAGAUUGUGGGGUGGACACGCCGUGGGUCAGGUGGUCUGCUGCAGUAGGCUGCGUUUUAUUACCAAGUUCUUCCUUUGCACAAGUAAAAUGAAAAGUUUUCAACAGUUGGGUAGCCCUAGGGCAGGUGAAACCUGCCUGGGUUCUUCUUCCCAAGGAAGGGGUUCAGGGACUGAAACUUGCUGAAUUUCAUGGAGUGGGGAACCCAAUAGGGAAGAAUUGGGAACCCAGGGUCUGCGAGAAUCAGCCAAGCCUGGGAUCCACCAAGCUGUUUUCUUAGUCAUGGUCCAGGAAAUCCUAUAUCAACCCCAUUCUUUUUGGAGAUAGUGGAAUCCUUCAGCGUUUAGACAGCGACCUAGGUAGUGAACAGUGUCUAGAGGUGAUUGUCAUUUUCCCCUAGAGACUUUGUGUCCCUUUGCAGCGCACCAUUGGAGCAAAUACAUGGAGGCUUUUGUGGACGCCUCUUGGGUAGCUGAGCUCAGCAGCGGGUUGGGUCUUUGGCAUAUUGUGAAAGGGUCGCUUUCCCAGGAACUGGAGGGUGCUCAUGUCUUGACAGAGCCUUUGGGGCCUCAGCGAGCCCACGGGGCAGGCAUGCAUGUAUCGCUGGUUGUUCCAAGUCAGGGCAGUGGGAGAUUGGCUGGUGGGGUCUAAGGGAUGCUGAGAAAGGCGGGACAGGGGUCCAUGGUGUGAAGCAUUUCAAGUCAGGUGGAAUCUUCGACAGAGGGUGUUGGGCUCAGAACACCUGGAAGAGGGUUAACUGUGGCUGACCCUUGACCAUCAUGACCAGCAUGGGUCCACUUAGGUAUGGAUUUCAUUUUCAAUAAAUAGUACUAUGGUGCUAUGCACUCAGAGCUUGGUGGCAUCUGGGGAGGUGGAACCACAGAUAUAUGGGGGUCAGACUGUAAAUUACAUGCACAUUUCAGCUGCAUGGUGGUUGGCACCAUACUAAUGCCCAUGGUGUUCAAGGGUCACCUGUAUCCUACUAGUAGCUCUUGGGCCCUGGACUGAUCACCACUGCCAUCAUUAAGUUUCCAGACCAGCGGGACGAGCAAGCUGCAGGGCUGGUGCAGGGAGGGAUGGGCUCCUGGGCCCCAGUCCCCUGCUUUCAUUGUGGGGCUUGGGUGGCCUCAGACUUUGAUGGAUGGUGAGGUGACCUGGGGAGAGUUGAAGCAUCUCCUGGAAGCUUUAGAGGGGCCACACUUUUAAUUCUUUCAAUGCUAGUCAUUACAAGUAACCUGCACAUGCUUGGCUGUGUCAACUAAACUCGGGGCGUUGUGUUCAACUUCUUUGUCCUCUGUGACCAGGACAGACUACAAGGACCAUGAAAGAUCCGUUUGAGGUUGGUCUGGAAAUCCUAAAACGAGGUCUCUUUGGGAAGCCAAACCUAUUGACCUUUUUAAUUUGCAAAGGAGAUCUUUGCCUAGAAGGUUGGAGGCUGGGUCACGUAGCGCAAAGGAAUGUUUUUCAGUGAAAUGCCCAAGACUCAUGUCUACCAGUUGAGAUCAAAAUUCUCUCUUAACUUUACUAGAUAGCCCCACUAUGAAAAUCCCCUUUUACUCUGAGGGUUCUCUUGGCCUGUGAAGGUGGCCAAGUAGAAAAUGCAGCUCUGGUAUCAACAAAAAUUUGCCUUAAGUUUCCCAUUAAUUUUAUUUUAUUUUAUUUUUUGUCUUUCUGUCUUUUCUAAUCCCGCAUUGCUGUGGCUCUGGCGUAGGCCAGUGGCUACAGCUCCGACUGGACCCUUAGCCUGGGAACUUCCAUAUGCUGCGGGAGCAGUCAAAGAAAAUGGCAAAAAGACAAAAAAAAAAAAAAAAAAAAA
RNAcentral lists this long non-coding RNA (1986 nucleotides) under Sus scrofa (pig). RNAcentral describes it as "lncRNA (ENSSSCG00060077374.1)". Lineage: Eukaryota; Metazoa; Chordata; Mammalia; Artiodactyla; Suidae. The record is from RNAcentral.